This 1439-nucleotide ribosomal RNA is filed under the name uncultured bacterium. Its description in RNAcentral is "16S ribosomal RNA". It matches the Rfam family "Bacterial small subunit ribosomal RNA". The record is from RNAcentral.
AUAAACGCUGGCGGCGUGCCUAAUGCAUGCAAGUCGAACGGCUCCGGAUUUUCCGGGGCAGUGGCAGACGGGUGAGUAACGCGAAAGUGACCUACCCCUGAGUGGGGGAUAACCGGGAGAAAUUCCGGCUAAUACCGCAUGAAGUCGGCCUUUAGGCCGAUGAAAGCCUUCGGGUGCUUGGGGAUGGGCUUGCGUCCGAUUAGCUAGUUGGUGGGGUAAAGGCCUACCAAGGCGACGAUCGGUAGCUGGUCUGAGAGGAUGAUCAGCCACACUGGGAUUGAGAUACGGGCCAGACUCCUACGGGAGGCAGCAGCAAGGGAUAUUGCGCAAUGGGCGAAAGCCUGACACAUCAACGCCGCGUGGGUGAGGAAGGCCUUCGGGUUGUACAGCCCUUUUAUCGGGGAAGAAAGAUGACGGCCCCCGAUGAAUAAGCCUCGGCUAACUACGUGCCAGCAGCCGCGGUAAUACGUAGGAGGCGAGCGUUAUCCGGAUUUACUGGGCGUAAAGAGCGCGUAGGCGGGCUGGGAAGUCCUCUGUGAAAUCUGCCGGCUCAGCCGGGAGGGGACAGGGGAAACUUUCAGUCUUGAGGGCAGAAGGGGGAAGUGGAAUUCCCGGUGUAGUGGUGACAUGCGUAGAUAUCGGGAGGAACACCGGUGGCGAAAGCGGCUUCCUGGGCUGCCCCUGACGCUGAGGCGCGAAAGCGUGGGGAGCAAACGGGAUUAGAUACCCGGGUAGUCCACGCCGUAAACGAUGGCACACUAGGUAUGGGGGGUAUCGACCCCCUCCGUACCGAAGCUAACGCCAUAAGUGUCCCGCCUGGGGAUUACGGCCGCAAGGCUAAAACUCAAAGGAAUUGACGGGGGCCCGCACAAGCAGCGGAGCGUGUGGUUUAAUUCGACGCAACGCGAAGAACCUUACCAAGACUUGACAUGCCCUUGCUACCCCGAGAGAUCGGGUGUUCCUUAGGGACGGGGGCACAGAUGCUGCAUGGCUGUCGUCAUCUCGUGCCGUGAGGUGUUGGGUUAAGUCCUCUAACGAGCGCAACCCCUGUUGCCAGUUGUUCUCUCUGGCGAUACUGCCCCGCAAAACGGGGAGGAAGGUGGGGAUGACGUCAAGUCAGCACGGCUCUUACGUCUUGGCUACACACACGCUACAAUGGGUGGUACAAAGGGUUGCCAAGGAGCAAUCUGGAGCUAAUCCCCAAAAACCAUCCUCAGUUCGGAUUGGAGGCUGAAACCCGCCUCCAUGAAGGAGGAGCUGCUAGUAACCGCAGGUCAGCACACUGCGGUGAAUACGUUCUCGGGCCUUGUACACACCGCCCGUCACGUCAUGAAAGUUGGCAACACCUGAAGUCGAUGAGCCAACCCCUGAGCUUGUCGAAGGGGAAGCAGUCGCCCAAGGUGGGGAUAGUGAUUGGGACGAAGUCGUAACAAGGUAAC